UACGUAGGGUGCAAGCGUUGUCCGGAUUUACUGGGCGUAAAGAGCGUGUAGGCGGCCAGGUAGGUCUGCUGUGAAAACUCGAGGCUCAACCUCGAGACGUCGGCGGAAACCAUCUGGCUAGAGUCCGGAAGAGGAGAGUGGAAUUCCUGGUGUAGCGGUGAAAUGCGCAGAUAUCAGGAAGAACACCCGUGGCGAAGGCGGCUCUCUGGGACGGUACUGACGCUGAGACGCGAAAGCGUGGGGAGCGAACAGG
RNAcentral lists this ribosomal RNA (253 nucleotides) under uncultured bacterium. Its description in RNAcentral is "partial 16S ribosomal RNA". It matches the Rfam family "Bacterial small subunit ribosomal RNA", at positions 524 to 776 of the family's 1533-position model. The record is from RNAcentral.